UACGUAGGGUGCGAGCGUUGUCCGGAUUUAUUGGGCGUAAAGGGCUCGUAGGCGGCGUGUCGCGUCGGGAGUGAAAGACCGGGGCUUAACCCCGGUUCUGCUUCCGGUACGGGCAUGCUGGAGUGUGGCAGGGGAGACUGGAAUUCCGGGUGUAGCGGUGGAAUGCGUAGAGAUCCGGAAGAACACCGGUGGCGAAGGCGGUGAGCUGGGCAGUUGCUGACACUGAGGCGCGACAGCGUGGGGAGCAAACAGG
Molecule: ribosomal RNA, 253 nt
Filed under: uncultured bacterium
Lineage: Bacteria
Description: partial 16S ribosomal RNA
Rfam family: Bacterial small subunit ribosomal RNA
Source: RNAcentral